RNAcentral lists this ribosomal RNA (919 nucleotides) under uncultured bacterium. Its description in RNAcentral is "bacterial SSU rRNA". It matches the Rfam family "Bacterial small subunit ribosomal RNA", at positions 8 to 921 of the family's 1533-position model. The record is from RNAcentral.
AGAGUUUGAUCCUGGCUCAGAACGAACGCUGGCGGCGCGUCUUAAGCAUGCAAGUCGAGCGGCAAGCAUCAGCAAUGGUGCCUAGAGCGGCGGACUGGUGAGUAACGCGUGGAUGAUCUACCUAUAGGUUGGGGAUAGUCGUUAGAAAUAGCGGGUAAUACCGAAUGUGGUUAUCUGACUGUGGUUAGGUAAAGAAAGGGGCUUUGGCCCUGCCUGUAGAUGAGUCCGCGUCCCAUUAGCUAGUUGGUGAGGUAAGAGCCCACCAAGCGAAGAUGGGUAGCCGGCCUGAGAGGGUGAACGGCCACACUGGGACUGAGAUACGGCCCAGACUCCUACGGGAGGCAGCAGCUAAGAAUAUUCCGCAAUGGACGGAAGUCUGACGGAGCGACGCCGCGUGGAUGACGAAGGCCGAAAGGUUGUAAAAUCCUUUUGUGGAUGAAGAAUAAGUGAGGGAGGGAAUGCCCUUAUGAUGACGUUAGUCCAUGAAUAAGCCCCGGCUAAUUACGUGCCAGCAGCCGCGGUAACACGUAAGGGGCGAGCGUUGUUCGGAAUUAUUGGGCGUAAAGGGCGCGUAGGCGGUUACGCAAGUCUGGCGUGAAAGGCGGAAGCUUAACUUCCGGAUUGCGUUGGAAACUGUGGAACUAGAGUCAUGGAGGGGGAGUUGGAAUUCCUGGUGUAGGGGUGAAAUCUGUAGAUAUCAGGAAGAACACCGGUGGCGAAGGCGAACUUCCAGCCGAUGACUGACGCUGAGGCGCGAAAGUGCGGGGAGCAAACAGGAUUAGAUACCCUGGUAGUCCGCACUAUAAACGAUGUACACUAGGUGUUGGACCGAGCGGUUCAGUGCCGGAGCGAACGUGAUAAGUGUACCGCCUGGGGAGUAUGCCCGCAAGGGUGAAACUCAAAUGAAUUGACGGAAGGG